RNAcentral lists this ribosomal RNA (464 nucleotides) under uncultured bacterium. Its description in RNAcentral is "partial 16S ribosomal RNA". It matches the Rfam family "Bacterial small subunit ribosomal RNA", at positions 28 to 505 of the family's 1533-position model. The record is from RNAcentral.
GACGAACGCUGGCGGCGCGCCUAACACAUGCAAGUCGAACGAGCGAGAGAGAGCUUGCUUUCUCGAGCGAGUGGCGAACGGGUGAGUAACGCGUGAGGAACCUGCCUCAAAGAGGGGGACAACAGUUGGAAACGACUGCUAAUACCGCAUAAGCCCACGGUGCCGCAUGGCACAGAGGGAAAAGGAGCAAUCCGCUUUGAGAUGGCCUCGCGUCCGAUUAGCUAGUUGGUGAGGUAAUGGCCCACCAAGGCGACGAUCGGUAGCCGGACUGAGAGGUUGAACGGCCACAUUGGGACUGAGACACGGCCCAGACUCCUGCGGGAGGCAGCAGUGGGGAAUAUUGCACAAUGGGGGAAACCCUGAUGCAGCGACGCGGCGUGGAGGAAGAAGGUCUACGAAUUGUAAACUCCUGUUGUUGGGAAAGAUAAUGGCGGUACCCAACAAGGAAGUGACGGCUAACUACG